This is a long non-coding RNA of Frieseomelitta varia, 1122 nucleotides long. RefSeq lists it as uncharacterized. The record is from RefSeq and is a predicted model, not a curated record. NCBI's taxonomy places the organism in Eukaryota, Metazoa, Arthropoda, Insecta, Hymenoptera, Apidae. The transcript has 3 exons.
AAAAAAAAAACAGAAGAAACGAAAAAAAAGAAUGGGAAGACGAGUGCAGCGGAAAGUUAGGAAAUUAACGAGGACGAGGCGAGCGCCUCUCGGCGGCGUUCCAGCGAGUGAUCGUGGUUUCACGGGUUGGCCCGUAGCCAGGCGUCCCGACGCUUGCCGAGAGGGUGGACCGAGUCCGGCCGAAGACGGCGUCCCGGCGUCGAGCGUCCGUCAGUGCGUGUGUGACAUGGCUGCGAGGCGCUACGGCCACCUAGACGCCCUCCACCUCGCGAUGUGAACACACCCGCAGCGUCCUCGAACGAUCGCUCAACGAUCCCACGUUUCUUCCACGCUCCUUUUCUCUCUCUCUUUCUCUCUUUCUCUCUCUCUCUCUCUCUCUCUGUCCAUCUAGCCGCGUCGUUAGCCACGACCCCAGGUGAAGAACGCGCGAUCUGUUCGAAGGCCUCGAACGCCUUCGAAAAGUUUCGAAAGUCGAGGGGAAAAUGACGGUGAUCGCGGGAUAGUUGAGAACGUUGAGGAACAUUGAGGAGCUGGGAAAAUCGUCGACGGAGGGCGCUUGAAACUCGGUUAGUGAAUGAGUUGAAAGUGAAGGUGCUGAAGUUCGAAGACUUUUGGUGAGAUGAAUCUGGUUGCCGAUUUUCAUUGAGACGUUGAGAGGAGAGAAAGGGGACGAUACACAGUGAAUCGAGCGAUUGGAUUUGAACAGCGAGGCACGAGCCUCGAGAGGAGGAACCUUCGAGUCUCGCGUCAAGCGUCUCGCGGAAACGAAGUUGAACGUAUCAUUCCCGCAGCGAGACGACACACGUUACACUAACUACUGCAUUCCCUGUAAAGAAGUCGUCGGGCAGUUCUCUCCUCGACCUUGUACAUAGAUGCUCACAGAGAGACCGUGGACCACAAGUACACUCCUAUUUAACGGACCUUCGUAGUUAGGCUAAGAACUGUACUAAGAGCGCCGCUUACGAUCGAUUACGAUCUUCAGUUGAGCGACGAACUUGAAAACGCGAGUGAAAAGAAACAGGUGGUGGAAAGUACUUACACUGAAAAGCGUCAGCUGUGCAAUUGUUUUCAGAAACAUUCAGACUUUCAAGACGAUCCGUUAACGAUCGUGAUCAUCGAUGC